AAGUCGUAACAAGGUUUCCGUAGGUGAACCUGCGGAAGGAUCAUUAACGUAUCUCCGAGUCCGGCGGUCGGCCUCGCCGUCCCCCGGCUCGAAACCCACAAACCACUGUGCUCCUUUACGGCCCAGGUCGUCGGCGAAAGUCGUUCGGCCGAAGCCGCAUUCAAAUAGACUCCAGUUCAAAAGAAUGAAAAGCGGACUCUGAUCCGCCUACAAACUGAAACAACUUUCAACAACGGAUCUCUUGGCUCUC
RNAcentral lists this unclassified non-coding RNA (250 nucleotides) under air metagenome. Its description in RNAcentral is "partial contains small subunit ribosomal RNA, internal transcribed spacer 1, and 5.8S ribosomal RNA". The stretch from base 1 to 46 matches the Rfam family "Eukaryotic small subunit ribosomal RNA", at positions 1786 to 1831 of the family's 1831-position model. The record is from RNAcentral.